Molecule: ribosomal RNA, 253 nt
Filed under: uncultured bacterium
Lineage: Bacteria
Description: partial 16S ribosomal RNA
Rfam family: Bacterial small subunit ribosomal RNA
Source: RNAcentral
UACGAAGGGGGCUAGCGUUGCUCGGAAUCACUGGGCGUAAAGGGUGCGUAGGCAGGUCUUUAAGUCAGGGGUGAAAUCCUGGAGCUCAACUCCAGAACUGCCUUUGAUACUGAAGAUCUUGAGUUCGGGAGAGGUGAGUGGAACUGCGAGUGUAGAGGUGAAAUUCGUAGAUAUUCGCAAGAACACCAGUGGCGAAGGCGGCUCACUGGCCCGAUACUGACGCUGAGGCGCGAAAGCGUGGGGAGCAAACAGG